AUUGAACGCUGGCGGCAUGCCUUACACAUGCAAGUCGAACGGCAGCACGGGGGCAACCCUGGUGGCGAGUGGCGAACGGGUGAGUAACAUAUCGGAACGUGCCCUGGAGUGGGGGAUAACUAGUCGAAAGACUAGCUAAUACCGCAUACGAUCUACGGAUGAAAGUGGGGGAUCGCAAGACCUCAUGCUCGUGGAGCGGCCGAUAUCUGAUUAGCAGUUGGUGGGGUAAAGGCCUACCAAGGCAUCGAUCAGUAGCUGGUCUGAGAGGACGACCAGCCACACUGGGACUGAGACACGGCCCAGACUCCUAC
RNAcentral lists this ribosomal RNA (311 nucleotides) under uncultured bacterium. RNAcentral's name for it is "bacterial SSU rRNA". It matches the Rfam family "Bacterial small subunit ribosomal RNA", at positions 30 to 342 of the family's 1533-position model. The record is from RNAcentral.